This 1417-nucleotide ribosomal RNA is filed under the name Freyana sp. n. AD630. RNAcentral describes it as "eukaryotic LSU rRNA". It matches the Rfam family "Eukaryotic large subunit ribosomal RNA", at positions 73 to 1269 of the family's 3401-position model. The record is from RNAcentral. Lineage: Eukaryota; Metazoa; Arthropoda; Arachnida; Sarcoptiformes; Freyanidae.
GAUUCCCUUAGUAACGGCGAGCGAAAAGGGAAAAGUCCAGCGCCAAGUCUUGACGCCUCGAUGUGUUCAAGAGAUGCGGCGUUAAUGUGUUGGCGCAUCGUGCAUUGCUCCGCGUUUCAAGUUCCUUUGACAGGGACCCCCAGAGUGGGUGCUAGGCCCAUAGAAAUGAGGAGCUGAUGUACGCAGGCCAAUGCAUUCUAGAGUCAGGUUGCUUGAGAGUGCAGCCUAAAGUCGGUGGUAAACUCCAUCCAAGACUAAAUAUGACAGCGAGACCGAUAGCAAACAAGUACCUUGAGGGAAAGUUGCAAAGCACUUUGAAGAGAGAGUUCAAUAGUACGUGAAACCACUGGGAGGCAAACAGAUGGAACCACGAAGUGUGCGCCCCGGUCGAUUCAAUCACCACUGCCGGUUGGCUGUGUUUGYCAUGGAUCUUUCAGGAGAUUGGRCAAACGCCGUCUGCAACCGGUGGUGUUGGUGCAUUUCGUUCCGGGGAUGCUAAGCCACGUUCGACUAGAGCUGGGACGGCCGUAGGACAGGGUCCAGGAAAGGUGCCCGUCAAGUGCUUGCAUUUGACGGCGUUAUAGUCUUGGAUCGGUACCGUCGCCUAGCAAACUGGUCGAUGCAAGUACUCCGUUUGGAGUGAAGGCGCGUUUGCCUCCGAUCAUUAGCAGGUGUUUCGCGGCGUUCUUUACGUAUCUUGCGGUGCGAAAAGGCGCUGCAACAAUGCCUGUUAGUGGUUGGUUGCGUAACGCGGCAGAACUGUGGCGYGAGUAGGUCGGUCUCCAUCUGACCCGUCUUGAAACACGGACCAAGGAGCCUAACAUGUACGCGAGUCGCUCGGUCUUGAAUAGGCCCGGGAGGCGAAAUGAAAGUAAAGCUACGAGGCCGUAACUGGUCGCAGUAGUGGCUCGCCCACUUCGUUUAUUGGCGAUCUGGCGAAGCUGGAGCGUAUACGUUGGUACCCGAAAGAUGGUGAACUAUGCCUGGGCAAGACGAAGCCAGAGGAAACUCUGGUGGAGGUCUGUAGCGAUUCUGACGUGCAAAUCGAUCGUCAGACCUGGGUAUAGGGGCGAAAGACUAAUCGAACCAUCUAGUAGCUGGUUCCCUCCGAAGUUUCCCUCAGGAUAGCAGGCGCUUGUUGUCAGUCUCAUCCGGUAAAGCUAAUGAUUAGAGGUCUUGGGGUUGAAACGACCUCAACCUAUUCUCAAACUUUAAAUGGGUGAGAUGGUUGACUUUCUUGAUUGAAGCCAACCAUUUUGGAUGUAAGUGCCUAGUGGGCCAGCUUUGGUAAGCAGAACUGGCGCUGUGGGAUGAACCAAACGUCGAGAUAAGGCAUCAAAUGCGUACGCUCAUCAGACCCCAUGAAAGGUGUUGGUUGCUAUAGACAGCAGGACGGUGGCCAUGGAAGUCGGAAUCC